GCAUCUUGUAAGAGCGUGGUCUGUGCUUUGUGAUUGGGAUGAUUGCAGUUUUACUUCUGGAAUGAGCAAUUUUAGAUAGCGUCAUGAUGGCGUGCCCUGUUAGCGUCAUGGUUGGCGUGCCCUGUGUUAGCGUCUUGAUUGGCGUGCCCUGUGUUAGCGUCAUGAUUGGCGUGCCCUGUGUUAACACGAUAUGUUUUAUUUAUUCGUGUGCUGUGAUUUCAACUCCAGCAUUGGUCAGAGGAGACUCGCAAGCAGCAAGGAAAGUAGGCUCCUCUUCAUCAGCUAGAAGUUUGACAAAGGAGUCCACAGGGAGAUUACUUGGUAUGUGGUGGAAGUUAUGUGAUGAUACC
Molecule: unclassified non-coding RNA, 350 nt
Filed under: Daphnia magna
Lineage: Eukaryota; Metazoa; Arthropoda; Branchiopoda; Diplostraca; Daphniidae
Description: uncharacterized LOC123468101, transcript variant X1
Source: RNAcentral